GUUCCGGGGCGGGGCCGUCUAGCCCGAAGUUCCGGGACUGGGGCCUCAGACUGUGAAUUGGUGAGUGUCCAGGUGACUUGCUCCAGCUUGGCUGAUGUCAGUACACUGAAGUGCUCUAAACUGAGGAACACGGAACAGAUCAGAGGAAAGGUAAUUGCACAGCAUAUCUGGAGCAGAGGGCGCUGCUAUCUGUCAAGGUCUGAAUGCAAAAAUGGUUGGACAGAGGCUGUGGAUAGAGAUUCUGGGUAAGUGAUAGUUCAGGGGCUCUCUACACAGAGAAAAAUCUAUGAAGGGAGACCAUAAAGAGAGAGAAGAUAUCUUAGUGACUAUCAACACUGCUACUUGGGAAAGCGCAAGAAAGAAGGAUGGGGAUAGAGAGUUAGGAGAAGGAAGAGCACCGCUGGGACAAAUUCCCCCAAAGAAGAGAUUGUCAGUGAUGUUAAAUCCUACUGUGAUCUCAAAGGAAAAGAAAUCACAAAAUUUAAUUGAUGUGUCACUUUAAUGAGAGAUAUAAAGGAAAAAUUUUAAAAACUGAGAUUAUAUAUUGUGUUCCUAAAGGAGAGAUCAAGUGUUGUGAAGUUAUUUAUUUAUGCCAACCAAAAUCCCAUUUGAAUAAAUUUUGGGAGAGAAGAGGCAGAGAGUAAUGUCUUGAUAAAAUAAUUCUAAGAUUCACAAUAAGUAAAUGAGAAUAAUAUUUUUUAAAAAGACGAGACUUGAGGUGAAGCUUCUCUGUUUAGAUAUUAGAAUAUUAUAAGUGUAUGGUAAUUCAAUUUUUGUUUGAUGUUUACUUAUUUUCGAGAAGAGAGAGAGCAUGAGCGGGGUAGGAGAGAGAAAGACGGAGACACAGAAUCUGAAACAGGAUCCAGGCUCUGAGCUGUCAGGACAGAGCCCAACACGGGGCCUGAAGUCACAGACUAUGCGAUCAUGACCUGAGCCAAAGUUGGACGCUUAACCGACUGAGCCACCCACGUGCCUCAAGGGUAUGGUAAUUAAAAUGUACAAAUCAAAAGAAAAAACAAGGGUAAAUGAAACAAAUUCUAGAAUAUAUAAAAACAAAAUAUUACACAGGAAGUAUCAUGAAUAAAAAAGGGGCAUUAUGCAACACUUAUUUCAGUAAAAUUAAUUUACAGAGAAAAAUAAGAUUAGAGGCUCACAUCUUACACUAAAAUUAAUUCCAGAAUUAAAUAUGAAACAAAAUGUAAAAAAAAAAGAAAGAAAAAAUAACUGAUUUGGGAUUGUACAAACAACUCUCCAAAUUUAAAAUCAAUGAGAGUGAGUUCUAAAAACAAGAACAAUAGAUGUAAUAUAUAAAACCCGAAAACUAUAGGGGCGCCUGGCUGGCUCAGUCAGUUAAGCACCUGACUCUUGGUUUCGGCUCAGGUCUUAAUCUCUUGAUUUCAUGGGUUCAAACCCCGCAUCAGGCUCUGUGCUAACAGUGCAAAGCCUGCUUGGGAUUCUCUUUCUCUCCCUUGCUCUCUGCCCCUCCCCCACUCACGCUGUCUCCGUCUCUCUCAAAAUAAAUAAAUAAACUUAAAAGAACUAUAUAUCUAAAAAAAUAGCCAAAAUAGCAAAUUGGAUGUGAACGAGACAGAAAGUUAAUUUUAAGAUGAUUACUUAGAAGAAUUCAUAUGAUUUCUGCAUCUGGUGAAGAUGGAGUAACUAGAAUCGAAUUUAUCCUCCCGUUUGAAACAACUGAACAAUAGACAAAAAUACAUGGAGCGGUGGUUUGCGAGAACUAGAUAUCAGAUCAUGAAAGGUAAUGAUCACUGAGAAGUGAGAAUUCUUCCCAAACCUAGGUGAGCCCCAUAAUUUACCCCAGCAUACUUCUUCAAGAAAGUUCCCAGACCAUGGCAUGGGGAGGGGAAAUUUAAACUCACCCCGGAAAACUUUCCAAGCUGAAAAGAUGUAGCUGAGAGUCAGGGAAGUCAAGGCAACUGGAAUUGGCAGGGCAGAGUACCAAAGAGAAGAGAGAGAACUCAGGAGAUUUGCAAAGAGGCUCCUGCAAGAAUUUAGGUGACUACCCAUCAAUGCUUGCAUGUGAGAAAAUACCCAAGACCAGGGAAAGACCCACCCAAAAGAAUUAGAGGUGAUAGUUACCUAUGCACAUAGAGGACUAGGAAUGAUGCUUAUUCCCACCAGCCAGACUAGAAAAACCUCACUGUUCACAGAGCAUUUGCUAUAGCACAUGUCAGAAACUGUAACAGGAUAUGAGAUUUUAUUUUAUUUGCAAGCCAACAAGCAGCCAUGAAGGCUGGUGGAAGACACAAGACUCCUAAGCAUGAGAGGAGGAGUGUAUUGAUUAUUUAGAGAAAUCACAGUAGCAAGAGUAUCUGCUGUUUUUCUAACAAUUCUCUGAGUCCCAGUUCCCCCAGGGUGACUCAAAGAAGGCUAGAUGAGCCUUGCACAUGUGGUGGGUUGCCUUAUAGGGGAGAAACUUGAGCUAUUUCCGGUAACAUCGAAAAGUAUGAAACACUUAGGGAUAAAAGAUGUGAAAGACCUACCUGUGCACUGAAGACUACUGAGCAUUGCCGAACAAAUUUAAGGAAGACCCUCCAAAUUGAAGACGUACACCAUGUUCACAGGACUGGUGUUUUUAAAAGACGAGGAAGAGACACCAGGGAUGCAUGCACACGGAGAAAAGACCAUGUGAGGACGCAUAAGAAGGUGGCCAUUGAUAAGUCAAAGAGAGACGCCUCAGGAGAAACCACCGUGCUGGCACCUUGCAGCCUCCAGAACUGUGAGAAAAUAAAGAAACAUCCCUGUAAACAAGAAAGGGACAGAUUACAUCAUCUGGUUGGUGUUAAACAACAGAACAGCUGGCAGCCAUUCUUGAUGUCGACCAGGAUUCACGCUCCUAGAUGUUGCAUGACUUGGAAUACAUUUGAGCUGCCUCUCCUGGAGUGGACGCCAUUUGGAUCGAUGCUAACCCACAGCUUCAGGAGUUGGGCUGCUGGCCCUUCUUUGUUAGGAGGCAGGAUUUGAAGCCAAUAUUCACAAGAUGAAGUUUGGAUGAAGAGCAACACAAGAGGGUAUAAAACACUGUCACAUUUUUUCAUGCCAGAAAAUAUUUCUUUCUCGUAUUAUUUCUUUAAAUAGCUCUUCACAAUAAGCAACCUCGGGGAAUAACAAGUGCAAAAAAGAAGAACCAGACCAAGCACAGGUAUUUAAUAUCUAUCCACCCACCUACCCACCCGUCUGUCCCUUUCCUCUCAUUACAUUUAAUUAUAUUUUUAUGAGUAUUACCAAAUUAAAAAAAUUAUUUAUUAUGCCCCCAGUAGAUGUGCCCAUAGGCAAUUUUGACCUAUUUUGCUCCAUUUCAGCUCCUAACGGAAAUUCAGCGCAUGAUUUAUUAAUAAGACCCUGUUUGCUCUGAGUCGUCGUUUUAUCUCCCAAAGAGUACGUAGUAGGAACAGUUGAGCUUGCAAGGAGAGGGUGUUCCUGUGCCUUUCCUGGAGUACGGCGACUGGCUACUGUUGAGAAUCUUCGUGUGCGGUUACCUAUGCAAUGUGUGCCUGAAGUCACUGCCCGAUCCUGCCACAUAGGGAAGUGUGAGGAAAUGUCAGCCCAUGGCUGAGUCUCUGCGUCACCACGGCCCCGGAUAGCAGUCUCCCCAAGCUUUGCUCAUUUUUCAAAAUGCCCAAGGAGAGCGAGGAGAGAAAACAAGAAUCAGGGAAAAGGAUGCCUGGAAUAAUCUAACUUUCAGUUACGUCAUAUUACAACCCAUAAUAAUAAAAGUGUAAAGGACAAUGCAAUUUCUCCAGGAGAUUAAUAGGCAUUUGAGGGCCUUUUAAGAAAAGAAUAAUGUUUGAUCUAAUGCCCCCAAACAGUAGGAGAUACUGUAACUCAGUGUUGGGCCAAAUGCUUCAUCUGAGCUCUGCACACUUCACGGUGAGUCUCUGACUUUUACAUUAAUUUCCACGAAUGGCCACGCAGAUCCCGUGUUUUAAAUCCUCGUGCAGACCCGGAUGAAAGCGAACACUAGCUCCUAGAGUCACCUAGUCCUUCUCUGUGGAAUCAUUUCUAAUUGAAUGUUAAGAUCAAAGUUUAAGUUUAUAAGAAAGAAAAACAAGUGCAGAUAAAUAGUUAUUAUCUGACACCCUUAUGAAAAUUCAUGACCUGCACUUUUAUCAGAGACCUUAUAAGAAUUCUAAUUGUGAAGUAUGCGGAGCCAUUAACUGGCGAGUACGCUUCAGUCUCUUGAUAAGAAGUGAGUUAAAUAAUUGUCCUGUUUAACUUGUGCUUGUUAACCUUUAAGGUCAACUAGUUUGAACAUACGUUUAAUGAAAUCCUGGAGCCAGAAUUUAUGAUACUGCUGCCGAAUGCUAAAUUGGACAAUUUACAUAAGCAGGACAUUAACCUUCUGAGCACUAAAUAGCAUUUUAGCACUUAGCCGCUGGGGACAAUAAGGGACAUGUUCUAUAUAUUUGUGAUUAGCUUGCCUGGAAACUCUCAUGAUGACCAAUUGGCCUACCAAGUUUAGCAGCAUAAUUAAAUGAAUGGACUCAGCCUAAGUAAAUUAUCAGUGCUGUGUACAGUAUAUCAUUAUAGUCCAAAGGAAAAAAAAAGAUAUGAAUAAUUUAAUAAUACAUUACUAAUUUAUCAAUGCUAAGUGACUUUGAGGAGGCUCUUUGCAGUUCAUUGUUUUAAAUUUGAUAUUUGAUUUAUUGCUUGCGUGAUUAAAAUUGAGCCUGUUUCAUUUCUUACUAGAAGUAUAUAGAAGCAGUAGAUUUUAUUUUAUUUCAUUUCAUCUCAUUUCAUUUUAUUGAGGUGAGACUGGUGGUGUUUCCUGCUUUGGUGAUAUUACAAAAUACCUCCUACUGUGCACUGAUUAGCAGCCAUAUUGCUUGCCACUAGAGAAACAAUAGUUUCAGAAUAUUUUCCAAAGGACGCAAAUGAUUACAUGGCCCUCUUCUUAUUGGCCAGUGUAAUCUCAGCUAUGAAAGCUUUUCUGUAAAGCAUGAGCGGCGAAGAGCAGGAGAGAGAAAGAAUUUCAAGCAGGCUCCACGCUCAGCGCAGAGCCCAACGGGGGGCUCAAUACCUCGACCCUGAGAUCAUGACCUGACCCAAAAUCAAGAGUCAGACUCUCAACUGACUAAGGCACCUGGGCACCCCUGUCCUAUUAUUUUUCUUGGUAAACCAAACAGACAAACUGCAUACACAUAGUCAUUUAGUCAUUCGUUCAUUCGUUCAUUCGUUUACAGAGUGGUCACGCAUGUUCCCUGUUCCAAACCUUUAUCCCGUCGUGCCCGGACAAUUAUAACCAUCUUUUGCUUGUUUUCUCACCUUCUCUUUCUCCAUCUUGUGUGUUCACUUCUUCUUUUCCAAUCCCAUUGUCCUUCAUCUGCCCUCAGGAUCUUCCAGGUGUGUUGAAUUACAAGUGAGAGCAGCCACUCUGCACAUGGGUGGGAAGUGUUGGAAGAAAGUACAAUUAUAAGGUGGGUGGAAAGGAGAAUCUGAGACUUUCUCUAUUUGAGGUGUCCAUGGGACAAAUGUGUGGAAAUUAUUGUCGGUGAAGCUCUAGAUCUGAGAAGAGAAAUUUUAUUUAAUGAAAUAAGGACACACAGAUAGUUCAAAGUCAAGAUGCUGAUUUGAUCACUAAAGAGAUAAAGUAAAAGAAAAUGAGAACUGGGCACAGAGUGGGUGACAAAUAAAUAUUUGCUGUUUGUGGUGUCUUACCUGGGAAAUGUACUACCAGUAUGUCUCCUUUGAUGGUCAUGACCUGUUCCUUGUAGGGUGUGAAACUCUUUCAUUCCUGGUAUUUAUUAUACAUUUGAACUCUCCACUUCAAAAGUCAUUUUGAAGAGAGGUAUUCAUAGAAACUUGCUCUCGGAUAACCAAAUAGCAGUACAAUGGACAAACACCUUCCAAAAGAAAUACUUAAAAUAGACUUUAACCCUUACUCACCUUGAGGUUAAGAAAAGAAGCUUGCUUUUUGUAAAAAGAAUAUUUAAUAUGAAUCAGAAUUAGAGAAGUAAGGCUAGAAGGAAUUUCAGAGCAUCGUAGCUGAAGCACAUAUUUGCUAGGAGAGUAAACUGAGGCAGAGAAUGACUAAGAAGUUAACCCAAGGCUUCCUGCCUUAAUUGGCAGAAAUCUCAGCCCCUGUUAUCUGAAUGACAAAUGUAGAGGAAGAAUCUUUUCUAGAAAUUCUGAUAAUGCUAGGAGUGCUCCCUGGACCCAAAGCAUCAGAAUAAAAACCCAUUUUACAAAUUAAAAUGUUAAAAUUUCAAUUAAAUUUCUAUUUAGUUGAAAAAGGUAAAACCUAACUGCUUUACUUGGGUUUCAUUGUUUCUUCAACUGUUGUUGGUUGUUUUGUUUUGUUUUGUUUUGUUUUAAAGAAGGGGAUGUGGUUUGGAGUGGAUAAUACUGGGCCACUUUCAGCUCCAAAAACAUGGCAUUCUAUAAUUUUUGAAUCAUAAUAUAUUUGUAGAAGGAAUAAGGGAAAUGCCAGCAAAUUAAAUACUAAUACUAAUACUAAUAUUUCGUAAUUAUAAGAAAUUCAAAAUUCUUGGUCAACACAAUAAGUUGUAAAGUGAGGCUUUAUUCUGUUUUGUCAAAUCAUACCAAAUAACUGUUUUUUAAAUUGCCGUUCAUUCUGAUAAUUUGUAUACACAAGUCUUUUAAAAAUUGGAUUAUAAUAGAUACGGGUGAUUUCUACAGAUUAAAAAGCCAUAUUAUAACAUCCACAAGUAAACUUCAGACUUUCUUUUAUUUUAGAAGAGCAGGUAAAAAGUAAUCAUUCCCUCUUUCUUUAUACUGUAUGCUUUUUUUUUUCUCCAGAUAAUGAAUAUUUUAAGUGUGAAAACCCAAACUUCCCAAAUACCUAUUCUUCUUUUAAAAAGAAUUGAUAUUACCUUCUUCCUCACCACCACCCCCCACCCACACACAUAAAUUGGGGGCGGUGGGGAGUAGGGGGCUGAAGUUUAGAAAUUGAAGAAAUGAUCAUCUCUAAUAUUCUAUUCCAUUCUGCAGAUGAAUCAUUGCAACCAAUAUCAGUGAAACAUGUUUUAUUCGUAGUCAGAAUUCAAGAAAAUGCCAGUUAUUCAUUCAUCUGACAUUGGUUCAUUUAUUUACUUAUUCAUUCAUUCAACAGAAAUUUUUGACCCUUGGUUUCUGUGCUAGGUAAUCAGGUAAAAAUGUGUAUAAUGUAAAACCAAACCAUUGCCUUUGGUGACCAUAGGGAAGAAACUCUUCUCUAUCAGACAGCCAGGACUUUUCAAAGGCAAUUUGGAGCAUGAUAUGAGGAAGCAGUCCACAAAAGGAAAAAGAGAUAACACAGUUCUUCCAUCAUUUCCCAUGUUACUCCAUUUGUAAAAUCACUGAGAAUCCCUAAAUCUUUUGCCAGAUUCACAAGUAUGCAAACCGAUUCACAAUUGUAAGAUUAGACGAAGCUUACUAUUCAGUAGGAACACAAAACAAUGUUUUUAUAAAUUACAAAGAUUUAUUUGAAUUCCUCCAUUUUCCCCCAUAUAACACAUACAAAUCACCCUUUCUUCUGAAAAUUGGCCAAUAAUCAAAGUCACUCAAAGGUUUUGAUGCCUUUAUUUGCCAUCCAGCCAUUGUCCUGAGGCUGUAACAGAAUAGAACAGUGUAGAAUAGGAGCAGAAUCCGUGGGGCAGAGCAACCUUAAGAGAAAAUCUUGACCCACUGUCCUUCACAUACUCAAUGUGGUUGUAUAGUAAUCUAUAAUUCUAGAGUUAUAUCAUAAGGAUGCUUCUGGAAUGAAUGUUAAACCUUUAGAAAAUUCAGAGUACCAACUCCUUAAAGGUGGAGAUAAUAUAAUAUAGUAUAGUAUAAAAUAGUAUAGUAUCGUAUCUUCAUAUAGUGAAGAGAAUAUAGAUAAUAUAGCAGAAGAAAGAUUGUGGUUAAAAGACCCAGGCGUAAAUCCUUCUAUAAAUCUUAGUCUUCCCAUUUUUAAAAUAGGCAUAAUAAUGCCUGCCAUGCAGGAUUGUUACAAGAAUAAAUAGGUAACCAAUAAAUUGUUAUUUAUACCGGUAGUUCUAAACUGGAGAUGAUUUUGUGUCCCUUACUCACCCCCUUCCACCAAGGGGCAUUUGGCAAAGGCUAGUGACAUUUUUGGUUUACACAACUAGAGAAGAGGUCAAGAUGCUGCUAGACAACCUAUAAUGCAUAAAACAUUCCUCACAACAAAGAAUUAUCUGGCCUAAGUGUCAACAGUAUGGAGGGUAGAAAACUUGAAUAUGUGCAGAGCACAUAGCAGGUGGACAGGAGGUGAUGGUUAUUACUAUUACCUGCAAUGUUUCAAAACUAGAUCUAAUGUAAAAACAUUGUGUGUGUAGAGUGAAUAGACUAAAUAUUUCUCUAGCCUUUAUAAUGAAUUAACUCCAAGAUUUCCUUGGAGAUGUACAUAAUCAAUUACAUACUUAAAAACUAUUCUCAAUAGCUCCAGUGACAUUCAAAAUGGAUCUAGGCUGAAACAGACUUCUGUGCAUGCAUAAAGGAAUUUUCCUGUCAAUAUUAUUGUAUGUCAAACAGAAAAACCCUUGAUAUGCAAGACAACUAGAGCAAGAAAGGCGUAGUCUGAAAAUAAAAUUGAAAAUAGUUUUCUAACCUUCAUUUCCCAAUAUGUUCUGUUUUGGAGCUCUUAUGGUUAUCUGGAUAUUCUAUUCCCCUCUUUCUUCCUUAUGUUACCAUGAACUGAGAUCCUCACAAACUUUGGGUCUUGUCCUUCACACCUGUCUUCCCAGGACACUUUGGGGUCUGUGGGGCAUUGCAUGCUAUCAACAAAAUACAUUCUAAAGCCUGUGGACUCCUGAAAGUCUUCAAUUUUUAUUUCUGCGCAUUCCUAUAAACAUUCCUUUGUCUUCUCUAUUAUGGAAUUGUCCCAUGGUGUUCCUUUGUAGGAAUUUUCUUCCAUGAUAACAUUGAAAAAUCACACAGUGCUUGGAAUGCAUUACACCUGGAAUAUUUUUUUUGACAUACCAUUCAAAAACUCUUUAAAAGCUCAAUCUAUUAAAUCAGAUUCUGACAUUAGUCUACACUAAAUUUUAUCUAGUUUCUUGCUCAUCAUUUUAAUGGUGUAUUUUAGAUCUGACAUCCUCAUGUAAAACCUUUAUUAUUUUGCCCUGUGACAAUUCAGAAAAUCUUCUCUCUUAUAACUUCUUUCCCAACUUGCCCCAAUUGUCCACAAGACAGUUCAGUUCAUCAUUUCUGCCUCACUAUAACCACUGUGCUUUCUGCAUAUUACGAAACUGCUCAUGUACAUUCUUUCAUAAUCAAUGUCGAAUAUUUAUUUACACUAGACUGAAGACAGUGGUUGUUUUAAUAAUCUUUGUAUUUCUACAGCUUAGUGCAAUGCAGACAUACCAUAAACCCCCCAGUUAAUGUUGAUUCAAUGGAUAAAGAUUGACACACAUCAAACCAGAUUAUGCCAUAGGUAUUGCAGAUUUCCAAAAAUCUGCAUUCUUUUUCUUAUCAAUGCUGCUUUUCUUAUCAAUGCUGCUUAUCAGUUUUCUUAUCAAUGCUGCUUUGGUUCUUUCUGUUUAAUGUUAGAAGCAUCAUGAACAUGUCAUAGGUGAAAUAUAUCUUUAAAUAACACCAGAACUUAGAGUGGAUCUAAGUUUUAGAGCCAUGGGGAGGAUUCUGAGAAUAAGUAUUCUUAAGAGCUUGUGUUUGUCUUGAACCCCUUAAAGUUCAUGAAUAAGAUAGAACUUUAUAUCCUUGCUAAGUGUGAAAGAAGGGAGAAGAAAUGAAGUUAGGCAAAAUCUUAAUUAUAAAUAAAGGAAGCCCCCACACUGGUGGCAUUUCAUUUACUUCAUAGUUGUAUGUGAAAUGGCACUGGACUAAAACUUCUUUGCCAAAUAUUUAAUUUUAUAACAUACUGUCCAAAUGAAGGAUUUUGGCAUUCCAAUCUGACUUUCAAAUAAGUUAUUAAUUAAAGCUGAGAAAAAAUUUCAGACUUGCCUUCAAUUCAAUAAAUAUUUGUUGAAUAUUUAUUAUGUAUUAGACACUAUUCUAGGUACUUGGGGCAUAGCAGUGACCAAAACUUCUGUUCUUAAAACUUACACUAAAUCUAUAUUCAUUUGCAGCUGGAGGAAUAAGAACCAAGUAACAGUUUGCUUCCUAAAUAAGUUAAUAGUUUAAUAUACUGUUUGCAUUUUUCUGAUAUGUUUAUAUGAUUAUCUGGAUUUCAUAAGAAAGAAAGAAUGCAUGAGUUGCUUUUGUAUUCAUUCCAGGUAGCUGAGACUGAAUAGUUUGAAAGCUGUUUCCUAGGAAGCUUCAGUGAUGGUUUGGUGAAUUCCCAGUUAGGACGAUUUUCUACUGUGCUUUGUAAUUUGCUGUUUGACUUUCCUAGAAUCACUGUUCGUUGUCUUCUAGAAAUAUAAUAACAAACAGUUUUAUCUAGCUACCCAUUUAGGUGAUAUGUUGAAGUUUUAACCUUUUAUUUUAGGAUAAACAAACACAGAGAGUUUGUUCAAGGAUGGGGAGAAAUAAGGAGAAAAAAACUUACUUCUGGUGUUAGUGUAAAUCCAGUUGUCUGUACAUUAUAGGGAAUUAGUCGCUUUUUAGAAAGAGCUUUUAAUUGCCUAAUCUAAGUAAUGUGGGCAAUGGCAUACGUGUUUUAUUUUAGGGUCUAUCUAGCCCACUCAGAAAAUGUAAUGGACCUAAUUUUCAUUUAGUAUAGGUCUGUGCAGUUCCUAAAACAUCUAAAUGGCUAUUAAUUUAAUCAGGUAAUUUAACUAUAGCUCUAGAAAAGGCCACCAGCUAGUUGUCACGCAAUGAUUAUGAGGAUGACAUUUCUAUCCCAUGAUGCCAGAGGCAGACUUUGAUACAUCAUUUUCUUUUUGAAGGUUAAACUCAGAUAACCUGCCUUUGGCAUUUAAUUAGCUACAUAUUAAACACUCUUUUAAUAAUAAAAUGAUUAAAAAUUUUAUUGCUUCUCAAAUGAGGCCCUUUUAGAUAGAUUUAAUGACUUGGUUCGAGCUCUGUAGUUUGUGAACCAAACCUUACUUAGGCCAGGGUGUAGUAAUGAUAUGCUUUACAGCUUGCAAAAUCUGUAUUUUAUUCAAAUGAUGGCCAUAAUCAUUUUGGAUAAAACUUAUAAUGCUUUCUUCUGUAUUUUUAAGUCUAACUGUUAAAUGUCAUUGGAAACUAACCAGAAACCCAUUGAUUCAAAAUUUCCAGAAAUUGUCAAGUUCAAAAUUCAUAAAGAGACCAUGAAGUCUGCUUAAUGUGCUGAAUCUUAUAUACUAAUUGUUUACCCUUUGAAAAAUCAUUUGUCGUCAUUGAAUGCCUGCAAGAAAAAAAAAAACUAUUAUAGAAAUGACAGAGAAGUGUGAGUGGCCUACAAAUGCCCAUCCAUAUUUUCAGCUAAUAUUAGCUGUUUAGUGAAAAUGGUCAUCAAGAGACCAUUCGCUGUUCAUCCUCAGCAUGACUUGGUGGGGGUAAGGGGCAGUUACAAUGUCUGUGAAAUAGGUGAAAGAGACAGAAUGCUGUCACACAAGAACAUGGAUAACUAGAGUCUGAAUAAAGGUGACCAUUUUACUUUUAUUCCUUUUAAAAGUUUUUACUUAAUUUUGAAUUUAUGUUAUUUAUUUAU
Long non-coding RNA from Acinonyx jubatus (cheetah), 11557 nucleotides. RefSeq lists it as uncharacterized. The record is from RefSeq and is a predicted model, not a curated record. The transcript is spliced from 8 exons. Lineage: Eukaryota; Metazoa; Chordata; Mammalia; Carnivora; Felidae.